Molecule: ribosomal RNA, 563 nt
Filed under: Salmonella enterica
Lineage: Bacteria; Pseudomonadati; Pseudomonadota; Gammaproteobacteria; Enterobacterales; Enterobacteriaceae
Description: partial 23S ribosomal RNA
Rfam family: Bacterial large subunit ribosomal RNA
Source: RNAcentral
ACUUAUAUUCUGUAGCAAGGUUAACCGAAUAGGGGAGCCGGAGGGAAACCGAGUCUUAACCGGGCGUUAAGUUGCAGGGUAUAGACCCGAAACCCGGUGAUCUAGCCAUGGGCAGGUUGAAGGUUGGGUAACACUAACUGGAGGACCGAACCGACUAAUGUUGAAAAAUUAGCGGAUGACCUGUGGCUGGGGGUGAAAGGCCAAUCAAACCGGGAGAUAGCUGGUUCUCCCCGAAAGCUAUUUAGGUAGCGCCUCGUGAAUUCAUCUCCGGGGGUAGAGCACUGUUUCGGCUAGGGGGCCAUCCCGGCUUACCAACCCGAUGCAAACUGCGAAUACCGGAGAAUGUUAUCACGGGAGACACACGGCGGGUGCUAACGUCCGUCGUGAAGAGGGAAACAACCCAGACCGCCAGCUAAGGUCCCAAAGUCAUGGUUAAGUGGGAAACGAUGUGGGAAGGCCCAGACAGCCAGGAUGUUGGCUUAGAAGCAGCCAUCAUUUAAAGAAAGCGUAAUAGCUCACUGGUCGAGUCGGCCUGCGCGGAAGAUGUAACGGGGCUAAACCAU